This 592-nucleotide ribosomal RNA is filed under the name uncultured Burkholderia sp. Its description in RNAcentral is "bacterial SSU rRNA". It matches the Rfam family "Bacterial small subunit ribosomal RNA", at positions 418 to 1003 of the family's 1533-position model. The record is from RNAcentral. Lineage: Bacteria; Pseudomonadati; Pseudomonadota; Betaproteobacteria; Burkholderiales; Burkholderiaceae.
UCGGGUUGAAAAGCAUUUUUGUCCGGAAAGAAAUCCUUGGCUCAUAAUACAGUCGGGGGAUGACGGUACCGGAAGAAUAAGCACCGGCAACUACGUGCCAGCAGCCGCGGUAAUACGUAGGGUGCGAGCGUUAAUCGGAAUUACUGGGCGUAAAGCGUGCGCAGGCGGUUUGCUAAGACCGAUGUGAAAUCCCCGGGCUCAACCUGGGAACUGCAUUGGUGACUGGCAGGCUAGAGUAUGGCAGAGGGGGGUAGAAUUCCACGUGUAGCAGUGAAAUGCGUAGAGAUGUGGAGGAAUACCGAUGGCGAAGGCAGCCCCCUGGGCCAAUACUGACGCUCAUGCACGAAAGCGUGGGGAGCAAACAGGAUUAGAUACCCUGGUAGUCCACGCCCUAAACGAUGUCAACUAGUUGUUGGGGAUUCAUUUCCUUAGUAACGUAGCUAACGCGUGAAGUUGACCGCCUGGGGAGUACGGUCGCAAGAUUAAAACUCAAAGGAAUUGACGGGGACCCGCACAAGCGGUGGAUGAUGUGGAUUAAUUCGAUGCAACGCGAAAAACCUUACCUACCCUUGACAUGGUCGGAAUCCUGCUG